RNAcentral lists this ribosomal RNA (119 nucleotides) under Pteropus alecto (black flying fox). Lineage: Eukaryota; Metazoa; Chordata; Mammalia; Chiroptera; Pteropodidae. The record is from RNAcentral.
GGCUACGGCCGCGCCACCCUGAACGCACCCGAUCCCGUCUGAUCUCGGAAGCUAAGCAGGGUGGGGCCUGGUUAGUACUUGGAUGGGAGACCACCCAGGACGACCAGGCGCUGUAGGCG